RNAcentral lists this ribosomal RNA (2920 nucleotides) under Staphylococcus aureus. RNAcentral describes it as "23S ribosomal RNA". It matches the Rfam family "Bacterial large subunit ribosomal RNA". Lineage: Bacteria; Bacillati; Bacillota; Bacilli; Caryophanales; Staphylococcaceae. The record is from RNAcentral.
GAUUAAGUUAUUAAGGGCGCACGGUGGAUGCCUUGGCACUAGAAGCCGAUGAAGGACGUUACUAACGACGAUAUGCUUUGGGGAGCUGUAAGUAAGCUUUGAUCCAGAGAUUUCCGAAUGGGGAAACCCAGCAUGAGUUAUGUCAUGUUAUCGAUAUGUGAAUACAUAGCAUAUCAGAAGGCACACCCGGAGAACUGAAACAUCUUAGUACCCGGAGGAAGAGAAAGAAAAUUCGAUUCCCUUAGUAGCGGCGAGCGAAACGGGAAGAGCCCAAACCAACAAGCUUGCUUGUUGGGGUUGUAGGACACUCUAUACGGAGUUACAAAGGACGACAUUAGACGAAUCAUCUGGAAAGAUGAAUCAAAGAAGGUGAUAAUCCUGUAGUCGAAAAUGUUGUCUCUCUUGAGUGGAUCCUGAGUACGACGGAGCACGUGAAAUUCCGUCGGAAUCUGGGAGGACCAUCUCCUAAGGCUAAAUACUCUCUAGUGACCGAUAGUGAACCAGUACCGUGAGGGAAAGGUGAAAAGCACCCCGGAAGGGGAGUGAAAUAGAACCUGAAACCGUGUGCUUACAAGUAGUCAGAGCCCGUUAAUGGGUGAUGGCGUGCCUUUGUAGAAUGAACCGGCGAGUUACGAUUUGAUGCAAGGUUAAGCAGUAAAUGUGGAGCCGUAGCGAAAGCGAGUCUGAAUAGGGCGUUUAGUAUUUGGUCGUAGACCCGAAACCAGGUGAUCUACCCUUGGUCAGGUUGAAGUUCAGGUAACACUGAAUGGAGGACCGAACCGACUUACGUUGAAAAGUGAGCGGAUGAACUGAGGGUAGCGGAGAAAUUCCAAUCGAACCUGGAGAUAGCUGGUUCUCUCCGAAAUAGCUUUAGGGCUAGCCUCAAGUGAUGAUUAUUGGAGGUAGAGCACUGUUUGGACGAGGGGCCCCUCUCGGGUUACCGAAUUCAGACAAACUCCGAAUGCCAAUUAAUUUAACUUGGGAGUCAGAACAUGGGUGAUAAGGUCCGUGUUCGAAAGGGAAACAGCCCAGACCACCAGCUAAGGUCCCAAAAUAUAUGUUAAGUGGAAAAGGAUGUGGCGUUGCCCAGACAACUAGGAUGUUGGCUUAGAAGCAGCCAUCAUUUAAAGAGUGCGUAAUAGCUCACUAGUCGAGUGACACUGCGCCGAAAAUGUACCGGGGCUAAACAUAUUACCGAAGCUGUGGAUUGUCCUUUGGACAAUGGUAGGAGAGCGUUCUAAGGGCGUUGAAGCAUGAUCGUAAGGACAUGUGGAGCGCUUAGAAGUGAGAAUGCCGGUGUGAGUAGCGAAAGACGGGUGAGAAUCCCGUCCACCGAUUGACUAAGGUUUCCAGAGGAAGGCUCGUCCGCUCUGGGUUAGUCGGGUCCUAAGCUGAGGCCGACAGGCGUAGGCGAUGGAUAACAGGUUGAUAUUCCUGUACCACCUAUAAUCGUUUUAAUCGAUGGGGGGACGCAGUAGGAUAGGCGAAGCGUGCGAUUGGAUUGCACGUCUAAGCAGUAAGGCUGAGUAUUAGGCAAAUCCGGUACUCGUUAAGGCUGAGCUGUGAUGGGGAGAAGACAUUGUGUCUUCGAGUCGUUGAUUUCACACUGCCGAGAAAAGCCUCUAGAUAGAAAAUAGGUGCCCGUACCGCAAACCGACACAGGUAGUCAAGAUGAGAAUUCUAAGGUGAGCGAGCGAACUCUCGUUAAGGAACUCGGCAAAAUGACCCCGUAACUUCGGGAGAAGGGGUGCUCUUUAGGGUUAACGCCCAGAAGAGCCGCAGUGAAUAGGCCCAAGCGACUGUUUAUCAAAACACAGGUCUCUGCUAAACCGUAAGGUGAUGUAUAGGGGCUGACGCCUGCCCGGUGCUGGAAGGUUAAGAGGAGUGGUUAGCUUCUGCGAAGCUACGAAUCGAAGCCCCAGUAAACGGCGGCCGUAACUAUAACGGUCCUAAGGUAGCGAAAUUCCUUGUCGGGUAAGUUCCGACCCGCACGAAAGGCGUAACGAUUUGGGCACUGUCUCAACGAGAGACUCGGUGAAAUCAUAGUACCUGUGAAGAUGCAGGUUACCCGCGACAGGACGGAAAGACCCCGUGGAGCUUUACUGUAGCCUGAUAUUGAAAUUCGGCACAGCUUGUACAGGAUAGGUAGGAGCCUUUGAAACGUGAGCGCUAGCUUACGUGGAGGCGCUGGUGGGAUACUACCCUAGCUGUGUUGGCUUUCUAACCCGCACCACUUAUCGUGGUGGGAGACAGUGUCAGGCGGGCAGUUUGACUGGGGCGGUCGCCUCCUAAAAGGUAACGGAGGCGCUCAAAGGUUCCCUCAGAAUGGUUGGAAAUCAUUCAUAGAGUGUAAAGGCAUAAGGGAGCUUGACUGCGAGACCUACAAGUCGAGCAGGGUCGAAAGACGGACUUAGUGAUCCGGUGGUUCCGCAUGGAAGGGCCAUCGCUCAACGGAUAAAAGCUACCCCGGGGAUAACAGGCUUAUCUCCCCAAGAGUUCACAUCGACGGGGAGGUUUGGCACCUCGAUGUCGGCUCAUCGCAUCCUGGGGCUGUAGUCGGUCCCAAGGGUUGGGCUGUUCGCCCAUUAAAGCGGUACGCGAGCUGGGUUCAGAACGUCGUGAGACAGUUCGGUCCCUAUCCGUCGUGGGCGUAGGAAAUUUGAGAGGAGCUGUCCUUAGUACGAGAGGACCGGGAUGGACAUACCUCUGGUGUACCAGUUGUCGUGCCAACGGCAUAGCUGGGUAGCUAUGUGUGGACGGGAUAAGUGCUGAAAGCAUCUAAGCAUGAAGCCCCCCUCAAGAUGAGAUUUCCCAACUUCGGUUAUAAGAUCCCUCAAAGAUGAUGAGGUUAAUAGGUUCGAGGUGGAAGCAUGGUGACAUGUGGAGCUGACGAAUACUAAUCGAUCGAAGACUUAAUCAA